This 389-nucleotide ribosomal RNA is filed under the name uncultured bacterium. Its description in RNAcentral is "bacterial SSU rRNA". It matches the Rfam family "Bacterial small subunit ribosomal RNA", at positions 28 to 417 of the family's 1533-position model. The record is from RNAcentral.
GACGAACGCUGGCGGCGUGCUUAACACAUGCAAGUCGAGCGGUAAGGCCCUUUCGGGGGUACACGAGCGGCGAACGGGUGAGUAACACGUGGGUGACCUGCCCUCAGCUCUGGGAUAAGCCCGGGAAACUGGGUCUAAUACCGGAUAUGACUCCAUGACGCAUGUUGUGGGGUGGAAAGCCUUGUGCGGCUGAGGAUGGGGCCCGCGGCCUAUCAGCUUGUUGGUGGGGUGAUGGCCUACCAAGGCGACGACGGGUAGCCGGCCUGAGAGGGCGACCGGCCACACUGGGACUGAGAUACGGCCCAGACUCCUACGGGAGGCAGCAGUGGGGAAUCUUGCGCAAUGGGCGAAAGCCUGACGCAGCGACGCCGCGUGAGGGAUGACGGCCU